UACGAAGGGUGCAAACGUUGCUCGGAAUUAUUGGGCGUAAAGCGCACGUAGGCGGCUCAACAAGUCGGAUGUGAAAUCCCUCGGCUCAACCAAGGAAGUGCACCCGAAACUGUCGAGCUUGAAUAUGGAAGAGGGUCGCGGAAUUCCCGGUGUAGAGGUGAAAUUCGUAGAUAUCGGGAGGAACACCAGUGGCGAAGGCGGCGACCUGGGCCAAUAUUGACGCUGAGGUGCGAAAGCGUGGGGAGCAAACAGG
Molecule: ribosomal RNA, 253 nt
Filed under: uncultured bacterium
Lineage: Bacteria
Description: partial 16S ribosomal RNA
Rfam family: Bacterial small subunit ribosomal RNA
Source: RNAcentral